This 497-nucleotide ribosomal RNA is filed under the name uncultured bacterium. RNAcentral describes it as "partial 16S ribosomal RNA". It matches the Rfam family "Bacterial small subunit ribosomal RNA", at positions 28 to 507 of the family's 1533-position model. The record is from RNAcentral.
GAUGAACGCUGGCGGCGUGCCUAAUACAUGCAAGUCGAGCGAACAGAUAAGGAGCUUGCUCCUUUGACGUUAGCGGCGGACGGGUGAGUAACACGUGGGUAACCUACCUAUAAGACUGGGAUAACUUCGGGAAACCGGAGCUAAUACCGGAUAAUAUUUCGAAACGCAUGGUUCGAUAGUGAAAGAUGGUUUUGCUAUCACUUAUAGAUGGACCCGCGCCGUAUUAGCUAGUUGGUAAGGUAACGGCUUACCAAGGCGACGAUACGUAGCCGACCUGAGAGGGUGAUAGGCCACACUGGAACUGAGACAAGGUCCAGACUACUACGGGAGGCAGCAGUAGGGAAUCUUCCGCAAUGGGCGAAAGCCUGACGGAGCAACGCCGCGUGAGUGAUGAAGGUCUUCGGAUCGUAAAACUCUGUUAUUAGGGAAGAACAUACGUGUAAGUAACUGUGCACGUCUUGACGGUACCUAAUCAGAAAGCCACGGCUAACUACGUG